This 69-nucleotide transfer RNA is filed under the name Solenostomus paradoxus (harlequin ghost pipefish). RNAcentral's name for it is "tRNA-Ile". It matches the Rfam family "tRNA". From Rfam's summary of the family: Transfer RNA (tRNA) molecules are approximately 80 nucleotides in length. The record is from RNAcentral. Lineage: Eukaryota; Metazoa; Chordata; Actinopteri; Syngnathiformes; Solenostomidae.
GGAGAUGUGCCUGAAUUAGGGGCCACCUUGAUAGGGUGACAUAAGGGGGUUAGAAUCCCCCCGUCUCCU